AUUAGCUGGUUGGUGAGGUAACAGCUCACCAAGGCGACGAUGGGUAGCCGACCUGAGAGGGUGAUCGGCCACACUGGAACUGAGAAACGGUCCAGACUCCUACGGGAGGCAGCAGUGGGGAAUAUUGGGCAAUGGGCGGAAGCCUGACCCAGCAACGCCGCGUGAGGGAAGAAGGUUUUCGGAUUGUAAACCUCUGUCCUUGGGGACGAAGGACGUGACGGUACCCGAGGAGGAAGCCCCGGCUAACUACGUGCCAGCAGCCGCGGUAAUACGUAGGGGGCGAGCGUUGUCCGGAAUGACUGGGCGUAAAGGGCGUGUAGGCGGUUUGAUAAGUCUGGAGUGAAAGUCCUGCUUUCAAGGUGGGAAUUGCUUUGGAGACUGUUAGACUUGAGUGCGGAAGAGGUAAGUGGAAUUCCCAGUGUAGCGGUGAAAUGCGUAGAGAUUGGGAGGAACACCAGUGGCGAAGGCGACUUACUGGGCCGUAACUGACGCUGAGGCGCGAAAGCGUGGGGAGCAAACAGGAUUAGAUACCCUGGUAGUCCACGCUGUAAACGAUGAAUGCUAGGUGUUGCGGGUAUCGACCCCUGCAGUGCCGUAGUAAACACAAUAA
This 610-nucleotide ribosomal RNA is filed under the name uncultured bacterium. Its description in RNAcentral is "bacterial SSU rRNA". It matches the Rfam family "Bacterial small subunit ribosomal RNA", at positions 240 to 863 of the family's 1533-position model. The record is from RNAcentral.